Molecule: ribosomal RNA, 447 nt
Filed under: Triticum aestivum (bread wheat)
Lineage: Eukaryota; Viridiplantae; Streptophyta; Magnoliopsida; Poales; Poaceae
Description: partial small subunit ribosomal RNA
Source: RNAcentral
AUGACGACCGUUCCAUUGCUUCUCUUCUCGCUCUCAUUUGCGCAAUGGAGCCCAGUUGGGACGAUCGGGGAUCUAGCAUUUGGGGUUGUUGGCGAUUGUAAGCCAACUCUUUAUCCCAUUCUUGUUCAUUACAUGGGAUUUCGUGCCUCGACACGUGGGAGAUAUAGCCGCAUCGUGGGCGUUACAGACAGAGGUGAUCCCUUCGAAUUCACUCUUGGGAAUGGGCAGGAGGGUCUGUUGGGGGCGCGGCUGAAGAUGCUCUUACUAGUUAUGUGUGUCGGCGAAAAGCGGAAGCUAAGAAUACCCGCAAAGAUGGGUUACGGCGAGCGAGGAUCCCCACCAAAGAUUCCAGGCGGUGCAACUCUGGUUUUCGACACGGAGCUCAUCGCCGUCAAUGGGAAGACAUCUGCUGGCGCCGCCGCGGAGAGCGACGACAGCGAGCUUUGA